UACGUAGGGUGCGAGCGUUGUCCGGAAUUAUUGGGCGUAAAGAGCUUGUAGGCGGUUUGUCGCGUCUGCUGUGAAAUUUCGGGGCUCAACCCCGAACUUGCAGUGGGUACGGGCAGACUAGAGUGUGGUAGGGGAGACUGGAAUUCCUGGUGUAGCGGUGAAAUGCGCAGAUAUCAGGAGGAACACCGAUGGCGAAGGCAGGUCUCUGGGCCAUAACUGACGCUGAGAAGCGAAAGCAUGGGGAGCGAACAGGA
Molecule: ribosomal RNA, 254 nt
Filed under: uncultured bacterium
Lineage: Bacteria
Description: partial 16S ribosomal RNA
Rfam family: Bacterial small subunit ribosomal RNA
Source: RNAcentral